AAAGUACUAGCUAACACUAUUAAUUAAUUGUAUUGUCUUAAGAACAAGCGAUAGUGUGAUCAAGAUCGAGGCGUUUUUUAUAAACAUAUUUCCAACGAUAUGUAUCAGGAAGGAAGCGUUUCCGGUCAUAUACAGUACAUAAUGCUCUUAGAUUCCACUCCGUCCACUCCACUUUGCUGACGAAGGUGUGGAGAGUUUAUGGAUCACCCUUGAACGACAUAAUGUCUUUUAGUUUUAUUUUGUAGUUUUAUUUUAUUUUAACUUGUUUUAACUUCUUGUAGUUUUUAUUUCGAACAAUAAAUCACUUAUGUUUGUA
Long non-coding RNA from Drosophila sechellia, 316 nucleotides. RefSeq lists it as uncharacterized. Lineage: Eukaryota; Metazoa; Arthropoda; Insecta; Diptera; Drosophilidae. The record is from RefSeq and is a predicted model, not a curated record. The transcript is spliced from 2 exons.